UAUUAACCUGGUCUCUGGUGAAACUCAGGGGGAUAGUCAAUCCUUGGUUUCUUUCUGCUGUUAUGAAUAUCAUAAUCUUCUGGUCGACGCCUACACAAAUUAGCCUCAAUGAAGCCACAAACUAGUCCAUGCAGCUUGAUUUGAGGAUUUUCUGCCUAUUAUCAGUCCAAAGAACGUUUCUAACCUUCCCACAUCCCGGACUGGUUCUCGACGGGAUGGACGUCCUCGUGAUCGGGGCUGAGAAUGCAUUCUUCUCUUGUGACGCAUUUUAUGAAUGACCUGAUACAAGUCAAUACUUUCAUCGGGGGGAAACAGAAGACAAAGCUGGGUUCCACAUUCAAGUUCAAUUUCCUA
Molecule: long non-coding RNA, 354 nt
Filed under: Homo sapiens (human)
Lineage: Eukaryota; Metazoa; Chordata; Mammalia; Primates; Hominidae
Description: HSALNT0073256
Source: RNAcentral